This 481-nucleotide ribosomal RNA is filed under the name uncultured Saprospiraceae bacterium. RNAcentral describes it as "bacterial SSU rRNA". It matches the Rfam family "Bacterial small subunit ribosomal RNA", at positions 28 to 505 of the family's 1533-position model. The record is from RNAcentral. Lineage: Bacteria; Pseudomonadati; Bacteroidota; Saprospiria; Saprospirales; Saprospiraceae.
GAUGAACGCUAGCGGGAGGCUUAAUACAUGCAAGUCGAGGGGUAACGAUGGAGCUUGCUCCAGGCGACGACCGGCGAACGGGUGAGUAACGCGUACACGACCUACCUUUAAGUGGGGGAUAGCCUCGGGAAACUGAGAUUAAUACCCCAUAGUACUAUUGUUAUUAGAAGAUGAUAGUUAAAGUUCCGGCGCUUAAAGAUGGGUGUGCGUAAGAUUAGAUAGUUGGUGAGGUAACGGCUCACCAAGUCUACGAUCUUUAGGGGGCGUGAGAGCGUGGCCCCCCACACGGGUACUGAGACACGGACCCGACUCCUACGGGAGGCAGCAGUAAGGAAUAUUGGACAAUGGAGGAAACUCUGAUCCAGCCAUCCCGCGUGCAGGAUGACGGCCCUAUGGGUUGUAAACUGCUUUUAGAUAGGACGAAACGCCUAGAUUUAUCUGGGCCUGACGGUACUAUCAGAAUAAGCACCGGCUAACUCCG